RNAcentral lists this ribosomal RNA (253 nucleotides) under uncultured bacterium. RNAcentral describes it as "partial 16S ribosomal RNA". It matches the Rfam family "Bacterial small subunit ribosomal RNA", at positions 524 to 776 of the family's 1533-position model. The record is from RNAcentral.
GACGGAGGAUGCAAGCGUUAUCCGGAAUGAUUGGGCGUAAAGCGUCCGCAGGUGGCAGUUCAAGUCUGCUGUCAAAGACCGGGGCUUAACUUCGGAAAGGCAGUGGAAACUGAACAGCUAGAGUAUGGUAGGGGCAGAGGGAAUUCCUGGUGUAGCGGUGAAAUGCGUAGAGAUCAGGAAGAACAUCGGUGGCGAAGGCGCUCUACUGGACCAUAACUGACACUCAGGGACGAAAGCUAGGGGAGCGAAUGGG